UUCCAGAUGACGAGUCCCAAAAAGGACGAAAUGUGCAUCCUUGAU
RNAcentral lists this non-coding RNA (45 nucleotides) under Trichobilharzia regenti. Lineage: Eukaryota; Metazoa; Platyhelminthes; Trematoda; Strigeidida; Schistosomatidae. The record is from RNAcentral.